AGGUCCGAACCGACGUUCGUUGAAAUGCCCGCGGAUGAAUUGUGGCUCGUGGUGAAAUUCCAAUCGAGUCGGGUAAUAGCUGGUUCUCCCCGAAAUAGCUUUAGGGCUAGCCUUGGGACAUUGUUUAGUGGGGGUAAAGCACUGAAUAUGAGCGAGCCGCGCCAAGCGGUAUCAAUCAUAAUCAAACUCUGAAUCCCAUUAGAUGUACCCCAGGAGUCAGACUACGGGAGAUAAGUUCCGUGGUCAAGAGGGCAACAGCCCAGACCGCCGAUUAAGGUCCCUAAAUUCACGCUAAGUGUCAAAGGAUGUAGAGAUACUCAAACAGCUAGGAUGUUGGCUCAGAGGCAGCCAUCAUUUAAAGAAUGCGUAACAGCUCACUAGUCAAGUGUCUCCGCGCCGAAAAUUUACCGGGGCUAAGCGUGAUACCGAAAUCGCGGAUGAAUCCUAAAAAUUCGUGGUAGGGGAGCGUUCUGUUUGCAGUGAAGCCAUAUCGUGAGGAGUGGUGGAGCGUACAGAAGCGAGAAUGCCGGCGUAAGUAACGAUAAAGGGUGAGAAUCCCUUUCACCAAUUGACUAAGGUUUCCUGGGCAAGGUUCGUCCUCCCAGGGUUAGUCGGGACCUAAGGCGAGGCCGACAGGCGUAGUCGAUGGACAGCAGGUUGAUAUUCCUGCACCCGAGCACGCAGUGAUGCAAUGACGAAAACGGCUAUGCUCACCUCCGAUCGGAAGUGGAGGGCAGAGCGUAGGAGUCGAUUCCUUGUUAAGUACGGGAAUCAUUAAGACAAAGACGUGCGGUAUGAAAGUCGCGAGACGAGUAAGAAACAGCAGACGCCGAUUUCCAAGAAAAGUUGCUAACGUUAAACGUGUUCGGCCCGUACCGAGAACGGACACACGUGGUCAAGGAGAAUAUCCUGAGGUGAGCGAGAUAACUGUUGUUAAGGAACUCUGCAAAAUAACUUCGUAAGUUAGCAAGAAGAAGUGCUCCAGCGAUGGAGCCGCAGCGAAUCGGCCCAAGUAACUGUUUACCAAAAACACAGCUCUAUGCUAAGUCGCAAGACGAUGUAUAUGGGGUGACGCCUGCCCGGUGCCGGAAGGUUAAAAGGAGAGGUUAGGAGCAAUCCGAAGCUUUGAAUUGAAGCCCCGGUGAACGGCGGCCGUAACUAUAACGGUCCUAAGGUAGCGAAAUUCCUUGUCAGGUAAGUUCUGACGUGCACGAAUGGUGUAAUAAUUUGGGCGCUGUCUCGACAGCAGACUCGGUGAAAUCUUAAUACCGGUGAAGAUGCCGGUUACCCGCGACUAGACGGAAAGACCCCAUGGAGCUUUACUAUAACUUAAUAUUGAGUAAAUGCGAAUCUUGUACAGUAUAGGUGGGAGACUUUGAAGUCGGGGCGUCAGCUUCGAUGGAGUCGCCGUUGGGAUACCACUCUGGAUUUGCAUUUAUUCUAACUCCUACCCUGGAUGGGCGGGAGGACAGUGUUAGGCGGGUAGUUUGGCUGGGGCGGCCGCCUCCCAAAUAGUAACGGAGGCGCCCUAAGGUACCCUCAGUAUGGUCGGAAAUCAUACGUAGAGCGCAAAUGCAUAAGGGUGCUUGACUGCAAGACCGACAAGUCGAGCAGGUACGAAAGUAGGGAUUAGUGACCAGGCGGUUUCAUUGUGGAAUGGCCGUCGCUUAACGGAUAAAAGCUACCCUGGGGAUAACAGGCUGAUCGCGUCCAAGAGUUCACUUCGACGACGCGGUUUGGCACCUCGAUGUCGGCUCAUCACAUCCUGGAGGGGCAGCACCUUCCAAGGGUUAGGCUGUUCGCCUAUUAAAGUGGUACGCGAGCUGGGUUCAAAACGUCGUGAGACAGUUUGGUCCCUAUCUGUCGUGGGCGUAGGAAGUUUGAAAGGAUCCGUCCCUAGUACGCAAGGACCAGGAUGGACAUAGCUACGGUACACCGGUUGUAACGCCAGUUGCACGGCCGGGUAGCCGCCUAUGGAUCGGAUAAACGCUGAAAGCAUCUAAGCGCGAAACCGUCCUUAAGAUGAGACUUCCCUUUCGCAAGAAAUAAGAUCCGCGGUAAGUUACCGCGUUGAUAGGUCGCAGAUGUAAGCAUAGCGAUAUGUUCAGUCGAGCGAUACUAAUAGAUCGACCACUUAUUUU
Molecule: ribosomal RNA, 2141 nt
Filed under: human gut metagenome
Description: bacterial LSU rRNA
Rfam family: Bacterial large subunit ribosomal RNA
Source: RNAcentral